GUUUUUGUUUGGUCUAGCAAUUUUCGACGGCAAAACUGCAGCUGCAGUGCCCAGCUCCAGCAAUCAUUUAUUUCCCUCUGGCCGCUCCACAGUUUCAUACAAGUAGCCAAAGAGUUACGUUACCCCGUCCCCAGUGGAUUAAACAAAUUGAGUGCGACACUCGGCAGCAAGUACCCAUCAAACGCGCGUAAAUCAAAACCAAAACGAGGCCUCUUGCCCGCUGCAGGGGCUGCACUUUUAAUAAAUUAGAUUACUCUUCGGGUCUCUGCAGAUCGUCUCGCGAGUCUCUCCAGUCGACUGGAGUGAAGUUGAGCUCCGUUCCGAACGGCGCUUCCAUGGAUCUCCCCCCAUCCUCUCUCUCUCUCUGACAUCCGCGCGCGAACUGCAUAAAUCUUUGGCCCUACGCAAGAGGCGGAGGCGGGCAUCGGCGGUGGUGGUGUAUCCUCGCUUCUUGGAUGCUAACAAGCUGGAAAACACUCUGAGGAUGAGGUCUGAAGUUCUGCAUCUGCAUCUGCAUCUGGAUCUGGAUCUGUGGCAUGCAGACCAAAGAUUGCUUUUUCACAGCUUGUGGUACGUCCGGCGGUUUAUUAAUUUGACGUUUCCCCUCCAAGGAGCAGGCCAAGCGGACGACCGGCACGGGGUAGUUAACGGUGCAACAAUUUGUACACUUUUUCAGCUACCCAUCCUUCUUGCUCUUGAGGGCGUGUCCAGGGAAGGUAGGCCACGUCGUCCCACAGCAAUUAGAAC
Molecule: long non-coding RNA, 747 nt
Organism: Drosophila obscura
Lineage: Eukaryota; Metazoa; Arthropoda; Insecta; Diptera; Drosophilidae
Exons: 3
Source: RefSeq, a predicted model, not a curated record